UGGGGAAUAUUGCACAAUCGGCGCAAGCCUGAUGCAGCCAUGCCGCGUGUGUGAAGAAGGCCUUCGGGUUGUAAAGCACUUUCAGCGAGGAGGAAGGCAGUCGUGUUAAUAGCACGAUUGAUUGACGUUACUCGCAGAAGAAGCACCGGCUAACUCCGUGCCAGCAGCCGCGGUAAUACGGAGGGUGCAAGCGUUAAUCGGAAUUACUGGGCGUAAAGCGCACGCAGGCGGUUUGUUAAGUCAGAUGUGAAAUCCCCGCGCUUAACGUGGGAACUGCAUUUGAAACUGGCAAGCUAGAGUCUUGUAGAGGGGGGUAGAAUUCCAGGUGUAGCGGUGAAAUGCGUAGAGAUCUGGAGGAAUACCGGUGGCGAAGGCGGCCCCCUGGACAAAGACUGACGCUCAGGUGCGAAAGCGUGGGGAGCAAACA
Molecule: ribosomal RNA, 427 nt
Filed under: uncultured bacterium
Lineage: Bacteria
Description: partial 16S ribosomal RNA
Rfam family: Bacterial small subunit ribosomal RNA
Source: RNAcentral